GGAAAAGAAAUCAACCGAGAUUCCCCCAGUAGCGGCGAGCGAACGGGGAGCAGCCCGGAGUCUGAAUCAGCUUGUGUGUUAGUGGAACGGUCUGGAAAGUCCGACGGUACAGGGUGAUAGUCCCGUACACGAAAGCACACAUGCUGUGAACUCGAAGAGUAGGGCGGGACACGUGGUAUCCUGUCUGAAUAUGGGGGGACCAUCCUCCAAGGCUAAAUACUCCUGACUGACCGAUAGUGAACCAGUACCGUGAGGGAAAGGCGAAAAGAACCCCGGCGAGGGGAGUGAAAAAGAACCUGAAACCGUGUACGUACAAGCAGUGGGAGCCUCUUUAUGGGGUGACUGCGUACCUUUUGUAUAAUGGGUCAGCGACUUAUAUUCUGUAGCAAGGUUAACCGUAUAGGGGAGCCGAAGGGAAACCGAGUCUUAACUGGGCGUUAAGUUGCAGGGUAUAGACCCGAAACCCGGUGAUCUAGCCAUGGGCAGGUUGAAGGUUGGGUAACACUAACUGGAGGACCGAACCGACUAAUGUUGAAAAAUUAGCGGAUGACCUGUGGCUGGGGGUGAAAGGCCAAUCAAACCGGGAGAUAGCUGGUUCUCCCCGAAAGCUAUUUAGGUAGCGCCUCGUGAACUCAUCUUCGGGGGUAGAGCACUGUUUCGGCUAGGGGGCCAUCCCGGCUUACCAACCCGAUGCAAACUACGAAUACCGAAGAAUGUUAUCACGGGAGACACACGGCGGGUGCUAACGUCCGUCGUGAAGAGGGAAACAACCCAGACCGCCAGCUAAGGUCCCAAAGUCAUGGUUAAGUGGGAAACGAUGUGGGAAGGCACAGACAGCCAGGAUGUUGGCUUAGAAGCAGCCAUCAUUUAAAGAAAGCGUAAUAGCUCACUGGUCGAGUCGGCCUGCGCGGAAGAUGUAACGGGGCUAAACCAUGCAC
Molecule: ribosomal RNA, 938 nt
Filed under: Enterobacter hormaechei
Lineage: Bacteria; Pseudomonadati; Pseudomonadota; Gammaproteobacteria; Enterobacterales; Enterobacteriaceae
Description: partial 23S ribosomal RNA
Rfam family: Bacterial large subunit ribosomal RNA
Source: RNAcentral